Molecule: ribosomal RNA, 335 nt
Filed under: uncultured Prosthecobacter sp.
Lineage: Bacteria; Pseudomonadati; Verrucomicrobiota; Verrucomicrobiia; Verrucomicrobiales; Verrucomicrobiaceae
Description: bacterial SSU rRNA
Rfam family: Bacterial small subunit ribosomal RNA
Source: RNAcentral
AUGGCUGUCGUCAGCUCGUGUCGUGAGAUGUUGGUUAAGUCCCGCAACGAGCGCAACCCCUGUGAUUGUUGCCAGCGAGUAAUGUCGGGCACUCGAAUCAGACUGCCUCGAUCAACGAGGAGGAAGGUGGGGACGACGUCAAGUCCGUAUGGCCCUUACGACCAGGGCUGCACACGUACUACAAUGCCAGUACAAUGUGAACCGAAACCGCGAGGUGGAGGAAAUCGAUAAAACUGGGCUCAGUUCAGAUUGCAGGCUGCAACUCGCCUGCAUGAAGUCGGAAUCGCUAGUAAUCGCGGAUCAGCUACGCCGCGGUGAAUACGUUCUCGGGCCUU